GAAAAAAAGUCAUCCUUUUGCUUUUAUUGUUUUUUGUUUAAGCAACCAAGAGCUGAAAACUAUGGUAUUGAAGCAUUCACGAGAAAUGGAUUCAAAUCUUGGAAGGAUGGACCUAAAGUUUUUAAUCAGCAUGUUGGCAAGCAUGAUAGUGCUCAUAAUAAAUCUAGGCAACAUUAUGAGGAUUUCAAAAAUCAAAGACAAAAUCUGCCACAUGUGUUUGAUAGGGGUUCUCAGAAGAAAGAAGAAGAAUACAAAGCUCAUCUCUUGAUUGUAUUGGGUAUUGUCAAAUUUUUGACACUACAAGCUCUUGCUUUUCGUGGUCACGAUGAGUCUACUAGCUCAAUUAAUAAGGGUAACUUCAAAGAGUUGUUGGACUUGUUCAUAAAGAAAGACCCAAAGGUUAUCGCACACGUAAAGCUUCUUCUGCUAUUGAAGAUGUGA
Molecule: ribosomal RNA, 441 nt
Filed under: Triticum aestivum (bread wheat)
Lineage: Eukaryota; Viridiplantae; Streptophyta; Magnoliopsida; Poales; Poaceae
Description: partial small subunit ribosomal RNA
Source: RNAcentral